Poeciliopsis prolifica (blackstripe livebearer) is the source of this 166-nucleotide long non-coding RNA. RefSeq lists it as uncharacterized. Lineage: Eukaryota; Metazoa; Chordata; Actinopteri; Cyprinodontiformes; Poeciliidae. The record is from RefSeq and is a predicted model, not a curated record. The transcript has 3 exons.
GAAGUACCUGAACCUAAAGUGACCGAAGCACCAGAAGUAAAACCCGCCAAGAAAACUCCUGCAGUUCCUGAACCGAGAGAGGGGAAGAAACCAUCACCAGAGCCAAAGCCCUCAGUUCCUCCUCAAAAAGUUUCAGAGGAGAAGAAGCCAUCCGUAUCUGUACCAG